RNAcentral lists this long non-coding RNA (679 nucleotides) under Helianthus annuus (common sunflower). RNAcentral's name for it is "sRNA HanXRQr2_Chr14g0664841". The record is from RNAcentral. Lineage: Eukaryota; Viridiplantae; Streptophyta; Magnoliopsida; Asterales; Asteraceae.
GAAUCACACCUAACCUCAGCAAACCCGACCCGAUUAUUCUUAAGAUCAAACUCCAUCCACAUAUCUUGUUGAUGGUGAUGCCCGAUCACAUACGCUUCAAUCCCUAACAAAUCUGAAUUCCCAAACGUAAAGCAAUAUAUGUCAUCAAUACCCUUCAUUAAACCCGCCUUAAUUAAUAACUUCUGACCCGAAACAACCAUUUCACCGCCCCGAAACAUCAAACUCACACUAGGCAAAACAGGCAACCCGACUCGACUUUUCUCAACCCGGUAACAAAGAUCCAUCACACCUUGAAACACAAAGUUCGGAUCCUCAUACACCCGUAACACAUUCCGGGUCUGUUUCAAAAACUCGUUUCUCAAAGCGGUGUAAACCGGCCCAAGAAGGAACGUAAACUGGGUACCCGUAUCUAUCAUGCUGAACCGUAUAUGCAACCCGGUCGAAAUACGGUAACGGCUUUGAGAUUUUAACCAUGGGCGUGUAAGUUAACGGCGUGUAAUUAUAUUCUCCUAAAAUUAACACGCCCGUAUUGUCCUGACCCGUAAUGCAAUACGAGAAUUUCGGGUAACCCAUUUGAUUAAUAAAAGAUAAAGACCCCCGGUUCAUACCAAUUAACCCGGUUGAUAACAAAUCCUCCGGUUGGUUAGAAUUUGAAUACGUAUCCAUGCAACCGAAUAUA